UGCAUCAGUUGUUUGAUAUGAGAAUGAUGU
RNAcentral lists this non-coding RNA (30 nucleotides) under Rattus norvegicus (Norway rat). The record is from RNAcentral. Lineage: Eukaryota; Metazoa; Chordata; Mammalia; Rodentia; Muridae.